Molecule: long non-coding RNA, 202 nt
Organism: Octopus sinensis (East Asian common octopus)
Lineage: Eukaryota; Metazoa; Mollusca; Cephalopoda; Octopoda; Octopodidae
Exons: 3
Source: RefSeq, a predicted model, not a curated record
AGUCAAAUGACUGAAACAAGUAAAAGAAGUCGUGGCUGUGUGGUAAGAAGCUUGCUUCCCAACCACAUGGUUUCGGGUUCAGUCCCACUGCUUGGCACCUUGGGCAAGUGUCUUCCACUUUAGUCUGGGGGCCCCCCAAAGCCUUAUCAGUCAAUUUCUUAGACGGAAACUGAAAGAAGCUCGUCGUAUAUAUAUAUAUAUA